GGACUCGGGGGGAAGUAUGCUCGCAAGAGUGAAACUUAAAGGAAUUGACGGAAGGGCACCACCAGAUGUGGAGCCUGCGGCUCAAUUUGACUCAACACGGGAAAACUUACCAGGUCCAGACAUAGUGAUGAUUGACAGAUUGAAGUUCUUUCUUGAUUCUAUGCAUGGUGGUGCAUGGCCGUUCUUAGUUGGUGGAGUGAUUUGUCUGGUUAAUUCCGAUAACGAACGAGACCUCAGCCAAUCUUAUUAGCUGUCGCUACCGCUAGCGGUCGCCCCGCGCGAAAUCAGCUUCUUAGAGGGACUACUGUAGACAGCAGACGGAAGUUUGAGGCAAUAACAGGUCAGUGAUGCCCUUAGAUGCUCUGGGCUGCACGCGCGCUACAAUGGUGCACACAGCGAGUUCAACCUAGCCUGAGGAGGCCGGGUAAUCUUGAAAGCGCAUCCUAGUCGGGAUAGAUGAUUGCAAUUUUUCAUCUUGAACAAGGAAUAUCUAGUAAACGCAAGUCAUCAACUUGCAUUGACUACGUCCCUGCCCUUUGUACACACCGCCCGUCGCUUCUACCGAUUGAAUAAUCCGGUGAAUUAGAUGGAUAGGGGGAGCCUCGGCGUCCCUCUAGAAGUUUUGUGAACCUUAUUAUUUAGAGGAAGAAAAAGUCGUAACAAGG
RNAcentral lists this ribosomal RNA (665 nucleotides) under uncultured Haplosporidia. RNAcentral's name for it is "SSU rRNA". It matches the Rfam family "Eukaryotic small subunit ribosomal RNA", at positions 1109 to 1799 of the family's 1831-position model. Lineage: Eukaryota; Endomyxa; Ascetosporea; Haplosporida. The record is from RNAcentral.